GAUGAACGCUAGCGGCAGGCCUAACACAUGCAAGUCGAGGGGUAGAAGGAGCUUGCUCCUUUGAGACCGGCGCACGGGUGCGUAACGCGUAUGCAAUCUACCUUGUACAGGGGAAUAGCCCAGAGAAAUUUGGAUUAAUGCCCCAUAGUAUAUAACCUUCGCAUGUUGGUUAUAUUAAAGUUCCAACGGUACAAGAUGAGCAUGCGUCCCAUUAGUUAGUUGGUAAGGUAACGGCUUACCAAGACGAUGAUGGGUAGGGGUCCUGAGAGGGAGAUCCCCCACACUGGUACUGAGACACGGACCAGACUCCUGCGGGAGGCAGCAGUGAGGAAUAUUGGUCAAUGGUCGCAAGACUGAACCAGCCAUGCCGCGUGCAGGAAGACGGUCCUAUGGAUUGUAAACUGCUUUUAGACAGGAAGAAACCCUCCCACGUGUGGGAGCUUGACGGUACUGUAGGAAUAAGGAUCGGCUAACUCCGUG
RNAcentral lists this ribosomal RNA (480 nucleotides) under uncultured bacterium. RNAcentral's name for it is "partial 16S ribosomal RNA". It matches the Rfam family "Bacterial small subunit ribosomal RNA", at positions 28 to 507 of the family's 1533-position model. The record is from RNAcentral.